This 482-nucleotide ribosomal RNA is filed under the name uncultured bacterium. RNAcentral describes it as "partial 16S ribosomal RNA". It matches the Rfam family "Bacterial small subunit ribosomal RNA", at positions 30 to 507 of the family's 1533-position model. The record is from RNAcentral.
AUUGAACGCUGGCGGCAUGCUUUACACAUGCAAGUCGAACGGUAACAGGCCGCAAGGUGCUGACGAGUGGCGAACGGGUGAGUAAUGCAUCGGAACGUGCCCAGUCGUGGGGGAUAACUACUCGAAAGAGUAGCUAAUACCGCAUACGAUCUAUGGAUGAAAGCGGGGGACCGGAAGGCCUCGCGCGAUUGGAGCGGCCGAUGUCAGAUUAGGUAGUUGGUGGGGGAAAGGCUCACCAAGCCAACGAUCUGUAGCGGGUCUGAGAGGACAACCAGCCACACUGGGACUGGGACACGGCCCCGACUCCUACGGGAGGCAGCAGUGGGGAAUUUUGGACAAUGGGCGCAAGCCUGAUCCAGCAAUGCCGCGUGCAGGAAGAAGGCCUUCGGGUUGUAAACUGCUUUUGUACGGAACGAAACGGCUCUGGUUAAUACCCGGGGCUAAUGACGGUACCGUAAGAAUAAGCACCGGCUAACUACGUG